CAGUGGAGUUGGUGAAAGCUGCAGAUAUCAAAGUCAUAGCAGCUCUGGGGGACUCUCUAACGACAGCUAUUGCUGCCAAUGGCUCCACCAUUCUGUCAGUCCCUGUUGAAUAUCGGCAUGUUUCAUGGAGUAUUGGAGGUUAUGGAACUUAUCAAGAUGUCAUCACACUUGCAAACAUUUUCAAGCUGUUUAACCCCGAGCUGCUGGGUCCGGCUCCACGGUGGACGCUCCAUGGCUACCCUACUAGCAUCAAUGAGACAGGAUUCAACUUUGCUGUGACAGGACACAACUCUCUGAAUGUCUCUGACCAGACCAGACAUAUGAUCGACACGUU
Oncorhynchus masou masou (cherry salmon) is the source of this 334-nucleotide long non-coding RNA. RefSeq lists it as uncharacterized. The transcript is spliced from 5 exons. The record is from RefSeq and is a predicted model, not a curated record. NCBI's taxonomy places the organism in Eukaryota, Metazoa, Chordata, Actinopteri, Salmoniformes, Salmonidae.